This 891-nucleotide ribosomal RNA is filed under the name Hanseniaspora sp. RNAcentral's name for it is "SSU rRNA". It matches the Rfam family "Eukaryotic small subunit ribosomal RNA", at positions 63 to 971 of the family's 1831-position model. Lineage: Eukaryota; Fungi; Ascomycota; Saccharomycetes; Saccharomycodales; Saccharomycodaceae. The record is from RNAcentral.
GUAUAAGCAAUUUAUACAGUGAAACUGCGAAUGGCUCAUUAAAUCAGUUAUCGUUUAUUUGAUAGUUUCUUUACUACAUGGAAUACCUGUGGUAAUUCUAGAGCUAAUACAUGCUUAAAAUCCCAACUCACGAAGGGAUGUAUUUAUUAGAUAAAAAAUCAAUGUCUUCGGACUUCUGAUGAUUCAUAAUAACUUUUCGAAUCGCAUGGCUUUAUGCUGGCGAUGGUUCAUUCAAAUUUCUGCCCUAUCAACUUUUGAUGGUAGGAUAGUGGCCUACCAUGGUUUCAACGGGUAACGGGGAAUAAGGGUUCGAUUCCGGAGAGGGAGCCUGAGAAACGGCUACCACAUCCAAGGAAGGCAGCAGGCGCGCAAAUUACCCAAUCCUAAUUCAGGGAGGUAGUGACAAUAAAUAACGAUACAGGGCUUUAUGUCUUGUAAUUGGAAUGAGUACAAUUUAAAUACCUUAACGAGGAACAAUUGGAGGGCAAGUCUGGUGCCAGCAGCCGCGGUAAUUCCAGCUCCAAUAGCGUAUAUUAAAGUUGUUGCAGUUAAAAAGCUCGUAGUUGAACUUUGGGCUUGGAGAAUCGGUCCAACUUUGUUGUGUACUGUCUUCUCCAGGUCUUUCCUUCUGGUUCUCAUUUGGGGUUUUCCUCAUUUGUUGAUCCAGGAUUUUUACUUUGAAAAAAUUAGAGUGUUCAAAGCAGGCGUUUUGCUCGAAUAUAUUAGCAUGGAAUAAUAGAAUAGGACGAUUGGUUCUAUUUUGUUGGUUUCUAGGACCAUCGUAAUGAUUAAUAGGGACGGUCGGGGGCAUCAGUAUUCAGUUGUCAGAGGUGAAAUUCUUGGAUUUACUGAAGACUAACUACUGCGAAAGCAUUUGUCAAGGACGUUUUU